RNAcentral lists this ribosomal RNA (253 nucleotides) under uncultured bacterium. RNAcentral describes it as "partial 16S ribosomal RNA". It matches the Rfam family "Bacterial small subunit ribosomal RNA", at positions 524 to 776 of the family's 1533-position model. The record is from RNAcentral.
UACAGAGACUGCAAGCGUUAUUCGGAUUCACUGGGCGUAAAGGGUGCGCAGGCGGUUGGGUGUGUCAGGUGUGAAAUCCCGAGGCUCAACCUCGGAACUGCGUCUGAAACUACUCGACUAGAGUACUGGAGAGGGUAACGGAAUUCACGGUGUAGCAGUGAAAUGCGUAGAUAUCGUGAGGAACACCAGAGGCGAAGGCGGUUACCUGGACAGUUACUGACGCUCAGGCACGAAAGCAUGGGGAGCAAAAGGG